This 775-nucleotide ribosomal RNA is filed under the name Stylocellus sp. Borneo 14. RNAcentral's name for it is "eukaryotic LSU rRNA". It matches the Rfam family "Eukaryotic large subunit ribosomal RNA", at positions 80 to 525 of the family's 3401-position model. Lineage: Eukaryota; Metazoa; Arthropoda; Arachnida; Opiliones; Stylocellidae. The record is from RNAcentral.
UUAGUAACGGCGAGCGAACAGGGAAGAGCCCAGCGCCGAAAUCCGCGUCCCCACGGGGCGUCGGGUUAUGUGGCGUUUGGGAGGACCGUAUUCCGGCGGUCGGUGGCGGUGCAAGUCCCCCUGACUGGGGCUCUCGCCCCGAGCGGGGGCAAGGCCCAUAGCUGCCGCACGCCGCCGUCGGAUUUCGCCUCCCGGGAGUCGGGUUGCUUGGGAGUGCAGCCCUAAGUGGGUGGUAAACUCCACCUCAGGCUAAAUACGGCCGCGAGACCGAUAGCAAACAAGUNCCGUGAGGGAAAGUUGAAAAGAACUUUGAAGAGAGAGUUCAAGAGUACGUGAAACCGCUCAGAGGCAAACGGGUGGGCCCUCGAAGGCAAGAGGGCGGGAGGAUUCAGUCGAGCGGUGUWCCGGAGGCUGCGGUCGGCACGGACUCCUUUCAGGGCCGUCCGCACGUAGUUGUAGCUCCGGAUGGCUCGGCGCAUUUCCCCCCCGCCGCAAAAUGACGCUGCGACCGGUUGGACGCUCUCGGCCAUGAGGGCGGGGGACGGCAGGUGGCCGGCCGCAGGUUCGUCCUGCGGCCGGUGUUACAGCCGGCCCGCCACGGGCGCGUUCGUCACCAACCGAGGACACCGGGCCCUGUGUGGGCCRUUKCGCAUCCUCCAUCUAUAGGAGCGGGUCGCCCGGCAGGUGGUUUGUCGUCUCGACCGUCUUCACCCGAGUGUGUGCGGUCGGCGACNUCCUCCGUUGGCUCGGUGCGGUUCCCGCGCAGGAUGCCGGA